RNAcentral lists this ribosomal RNA (497 nucleotides) under uncultured bacterium. RNAcentral describes it as "partial 16S ribosomal RNA". It matches the Rfam family "Bacterial small subunit ribosomal RNA", at positions 28 to 507 of the family's 1533-position model. The record is from RNAcentral.
GAUGAACGCUGGCGGCGUGCCUAAUACAUGCAAGUCGAACGCAUAGCGAAAGGGGCUUGCACCUUUCAGGUGAGUGGCGAACGGGUGAGUAACACGUGGACAACCUGCCUCAAGGCUGGGGAUAACAUUUGGAAACAGAUGCUAAUACCGAAUAAAACUUAGUGUCGCAUGACACAAAGUUAAAAGGCGCUUCGGCGUCACCUAGAGAUGGAUCCGCGGUGCAUUAGUUAGUUGGUGGGGUAAAGGCCUACCAAGACAACGAUGCAUAGCCGAGUUGAGAGACUGAUCGGCCACAUUGGGACUGAGACACGGCCCAAACUCCUACGGGAGGCUGCAGUAGGGAAUCUUCCACAAUGGGCGAAAGCCUGAUGGAGCAACGCCGCGUGAGUGAUGAAGGCCUUCGGGUCGUAAAGCACUGUUGUAUGGGAAGAACAGAUAUGAUAGGAAAUGAUCUUAGUUUGACGGUACCAUAUCAGAAAGGGACGGCUAACUACGUG